RNAcentral lists this ribosomal RNA (253 nucleotides) under uncultured bacterium. RNAcentral's name for it is "partial 16S ribosomal RNA". It matches the Rfam family "Bacterial small subunit ribosomal RNA", at positions 524 to 776 of the family's 1533-position model. The record is from RNAcentral.
UCCAGAGGGUGCAAACGUUGUUCGGAAUUACUGGGCGUAAAGCGCGUGUAGGCGGCCCUGCAAGUCGGAUGUGAAAUCCCACGGCUCAACCGUGGAAGUGCAUUCGAAACUGCGGGGCUGGAGUACUGGAGAGGAAGGUGGAAUGCUCGGUGUAGAGGUGAAAUUCGUAGAUAUCGAGCGGAACACCGGUGGCGAAGGCGGCCUUCUGGACAGUUACUGACGCUGAGACGCGAAAGCGUGGGGAGCAAACAGG